Molecule: ribosomal RNA, 492 nt
Filed under: uncultured bacterium
Lineage: Bacteria
Description: partial 16S ribosomal RNA
Rfam family: Bacterial small subunit ribosomal RNA
Source: RNAcentral
GAUGAACGCUAGCUACAGGCUUAACACAUGCAAGUCGAGGGGAAACGGCAUCGCACGCUUGCUUUUGCUGGGCGUCGACCGGCGCACGGGUGAGUAACGCGUAUCCAACCUGCCCAUCACUUGGGAAUCACCUUGCGAAAGUAAGACUCAUGCCCAAUGACAUCCCCCGAAGGCAUUCGCAUGGGAUCACAGAUUUUUCGGUGAUGGAUGGGGAUGCGUCUGAUUAGCUUGUUGGCGGGGUGACGGCCCACCAAGGCAACGAUCAGUAUGGGUUCUGAGAGGAAGGUCCCCCACAUAAGAACUGAGGCACGGUCCAAACUGCUACGGGAGGCAGCGGUGAGGAAUACGAGGCAAGGGGCGAGAGCGUGAACCAGCCAAGUAGCGGGCAGGAGGACGGCGCUUGGGGAGGUAAACUGCUUUUAUAAGGGGGUAAAGUGGGUCACGUGUGACUUAUUGCAGGUACCUGAUGAAUAAGGACCGGCUAAGUCCGUG